CAAGUGCUGGCCAUCACAGUUUCUCUCCUUACUUCAGCAGGUUCCACAUGAGAGCACUUGCCACAUGUCCUGUCACUGAGGUGUUCCUACCGAAGGUAUAUGCAGUAUGCCUGGAUCUUACCCACUGAACCACCUCCAAACCUCUUAUAUUAGUGUAUCGUCAUCAUCACCAUCAUCACCAUCAUCAGCAUCAUCACCAUCAUCAGCAUCAUCACCAUCAUCAGCAUCAUCAGCAUCACCACCACCACUACCACCAACAUCAUCUGAAGAAUUGUAUUUGUGACAGGAUCUUAUGUAGUCAUGGCUGGUCUCAAACAUUCUUUUUUUUUUUUUAAGAUGUAUUUAUUAUUAUACAUAAGUACACUGUUGCUGAUAUCUGACUCACCAGAAGAGGUGUCAGAUCUCAUUACCGGUGGUUGUGAGCCACCAUGUGGUUGCUGGGAUUUGAAUUCAUGACCUUCAGAAGAGCAGUCAGUGUUCUUACCCACUAAGCCAUCUCUCCAGCCCAGGCCUCAAGCAUUUUAUGUUGCUAAGGUUGGCCUUCAACUCCUGAUUCUCUUGCUUCUACCUCUCAGGCUC
RNAcentral lists this long non-coding RNA (579 nucleotides) under Mus musculus (house mouse). RNAcentral describes it as "predicted gene, 35371". Lineage: Eukaryota; Metazoa; Chordata; Mammalia; Rodentia; Muridae. The record is from RNAcentral.